AAGUCCUACCUAGUAAAGUCUAGCCAACAACUAGUAGUGAGUCUUGGAGCGAAACUUGUAACAGUUAGUUUAAGCGUAGACAACGAGGAAAUAGGGUUAGUAUUGAGCCCCGAAAUUUUGUAGAAUACUAGAAAGACGACGUUUUAAUUGUAACGGAAGUCAACAUUUAAUUAUUCGUUAAGGCAAGAAUAAUUAGAUUUCUACGGGGUCAGAGACC
Molecule: non-coding RNA, 217 nt
Filed under: chicken gut metagenome
Source: RNAcentral